AUUUGAAUAGAUUAAGAUGGGAAAAAGGGGUUUGGCCGGUUCUUAUCUUUGUUCGUUGUUGAUCGGCUUUAUACCGAUUGUCGGUUAUUGUUUCUUUACCUGGUGGAGUCUAGUUCCUUCCGGUUUCUUCUAUAAUUUUUGUACUUUGUUUUGCUUUUGCCAAAUAAUCUCAUCGGAUCUAUGGUUAGUGAUGACGCUUUGUCAUACCCGUUACGGUGGUUCUUCUCAGCCUAAGUCCUUUGAGUUUCUUUUUCUUAGAUCUGUGUCGGUUCUUGUCUCUUGAAGAUGGGUUUUGCCAGAUCGGUUUCUUAUCAACUCGGUUUGCAGAAUCGUUUCAAAAAGAUUUCGAUAUUUUGUUGAAGAGACUUUCUCACUGGAAUCGGCGCUCAACGGCUAAGGUUGUUGCCGAAAAUCUUUUGAUUACUCAUCCGUGAUAGAUAUCACUUAAAGACAAAUCUCGGCGAGAACGACAGUUGCAAUUAUCUCAUGGAGACCCGAUAACAAUUUGAUCGCAUAGAUCUCCUCAUCGAUCUCCAAUCUCGCCUUCUCCAGUACUACUGGAUUGCUCGGUAAAUCUCGCCAUCGCCCACUCAAGUGUUACCAUAGAGAUUUCAGUCCCAGCUAGCAUUUUCUCCUUCACAACAAAUCGGGCAAAAAUUGAAUCAUAAUAGAAUAUCUUCCAUACAUAAUAGAAGUGUGGUUAAAUAUAUAAUUGUUUCUGUUUAGAUAUUGAUUAUGCUGUAUUUCUUUAGUUUAGUUGGAAUGGUAUGUAAAAUAUUUAGGAAACAAAAUUUAAAAUAAUAUUAUUUUUGGAAAUUUUGUAGGAA
Molecule: long non-coding RNA, 827 nt
Organism: Camelina sativa (false flax)
Lineage: Eukaryota; Viridiplantae; Streptophyta; Magnoliopsida; Brassicales; Brassicaceae
Source: RefSeq, a predicted model, not a curated record